RNAcentral lists this ribosomal RNA (596 nucleotides) under uncultured bacterium. RNAcentral's name for it is "partial 16S ribosomal RNA". It matches the Rfam family "Bacterial small subunit ribosomal RNA", at positions 355 to 1375 of the family's 1533-position model. The record is from RNAcentral.
UGGGGAAUUUUGGACAAUGGGCGAAAGCCUGAUCCCAGCAAUGCCGCGUGUGUGAAGAAGGCCUUCGGGUUGUAAAGCACUUUUGUCCGGAAAGAAAUCCUUGGCUCUAAUACAGUCGGGGGAUGACGGUACCGGAAGAAUAAGCACCGGCUAACUACGUGCCAGCAGCCGCGGUAAUACGUAGGGUGCAAGCGUUAAUCGGAAUUACUGGGCGUAAAGCGUGCGCAGGCGGUUUGCUAAGACCGAUGUGAAAUCCCCGGGCUCAACCUGGGAACUGCAUUGGUGACUGGCAGGCUAGAGUAUGGCAGAGGGGGGUAGAAUUCCACGUGUAGCAGUGAAAUGCGUAGAGAUGUGGAGGAAUACCGAUGGCGAAGGCAGCCCCCUGGGCCAAUACUGACGCUCAUGCACGAAAAGCGUGGGGGAGCAAAACAGGAUUAGAUACCCUGGUAGUCCACACCCUAAAACGAUGUCAAACUAGUUGUUGGGGAUUCAUUUUCCUUAGUAACGUAGCUAAACGCGUGAAGUUGACCGCCUGGGGAGUAACGGUCGCAAAGAUUAAAAACUCAAAGGAAUUGACGGGGUCAUAGCUGUUUCCU